GUGGAUGCCCUGGCAGUCAGAGGCGAUGAAGGGCGUGCUAAUCUGCGAUAAGCGCCGGUAAGGUGAUAUGAACCGUUAUAACCGGCGAUACCCGAAUGGGGAAACCCAGUGUGACUCGUCACACUAUCAUUAACUGAAUCCAUAGGUUAAUGAGGCGAACCGGGGGAACUGAAACAUCUAAGUACCCCGAGGAAAAGAAAUCAACCGAGAUUCCCCCAGUAGCGGCGAGCGAACGGGGAGGAGCCCAGAGCCUGAAUCAGCAUGUGUGUUAGUGGAAGCGUCUGGAAAGGCGCGCGAUACAGGGUGACAGCCCCGUACACAAAAGCGCAUGUGCUGUGAGCUCGAUGAGUAGGGCGGGACACGUGGUAUCCUGUCUGAAUAUGGGGGGACCAUCCUCCAAGGCUAAAUACUCCUGACUGACCGAUAGUGAACCAGUACCGUGAGGGAAAGGCGAAAAGAACCCCGGCGAGGGGAGUGAAAAAGAACCUGAAACCGUGUACGUACAAGCAGUGGGAGCCCCACCACCAAAGCAUUUGCUGUACCGCGUUGACGGAGCGAAGCGACGUCAAACCGAUAAAACAGCAGUGUAAAGUGAGCCGCAGGGCGCUUUGCGCGACAGCGCAAAGGCAGGCGGUUUCGCGUAGCGAAAGCGAAUGCUUUGGGGUGGGGUGACUGCGUACCUUUUGUAUAAUGGGUCAGCGACUUAUAUUCUGUAGCAAGGUUAACCGAAUAGGGGAGCCGGAGGGAAACCGAGUCUUAAUUGGGCGUUAAGUUGCAGGGUAUAGACCCGAAACCCGGUGAUCUAGCCAUGGGCAGGUUGAAGGUUGGGUAACACUAACUGGAGGACCGAACCGACUAAUGUUGAAAAAUUAGCGGAUGACCUGUGGCUGGGGGUGAAAGGCCAAUCAAACCGGGAGAUAGCUGGUUCUCCCCGAAAGCUAUUUAGGUAGCGCCUCGUGAAUUCAUCUCCGGGGGUAGAGCACUGUUUCGGCUAGGGGGCCAUCCCGGCUUACCAACCCGAUGCAAACUGCGAAUACCGGAGAAUGUUAUCACGGGAGACACACGGCGGGUGCUAACGUCCGUCGUGAAGAGGGAAACAACCCAGACCGCCAGCUAAGGUCCCAAAGUCAUGGUUAAGUGGGAAACGAUGUGGGAAGGCCCAGACAGCCAGGAUGUUGGCUUAGAAGCAGCCAUCAUUUAAAGAAAGCGUAAUAGCUCACUGGUCGAGUCGGCCUGCGCGGAAGAUGUAACGGGGCUAAACCAUGCACCGAAGCUGCGGCAGCGACACUGUGUGUUGUUGGGUA
This 1304-nucleotide ribosomal RNA is filed under the name Salmonella enterica subsp. enterica serovar Enteritidis. RNAcentral describes it as "partial 23S ribosomal RNA". It matches the Rfam family "Bacterial large subunit ribosomal RNA", at positions 24 to 1230 of the family's 2925-position model. Lineage: Bacteria; Pseudomonadati; Pseudomonadota; Gammaproteobacteria; Enterobacterales; Enterobacteriaceae. The record is from RNAcentral.